Molecule: RNA transcript, 5651 nt
Organism: Diorhabda sublineata
Lineage: Eukaryota; Metazoa; Arthropoda; Insecta; Coleoptera; Chrysomelidae
Gene name: biorientation of chromosomes in cell division protein 1-like 1
Exons: 8
Source: RefSeq, a predicted model, not a curated record
AAGAGAUUAGUAAAUGAACUGUUAUGACUGCCGAGUUACUGGUAUAAAGGCUAAAAAACGUCAUGUCAAUUGUCACAAGUAAAAAUAUAUGUUUAUAAAACUCAUGUUGUGAAAAAUAAUUUAAAAAACUUGAACGAUGGAAGUGAUGUGCAAUAAUUAUAUACCAGGUGAUUCGAGAUUAAUUGAAAAAUUAGUGUCGGAACUUAAAUCUCAAGGUAUAUUUGAUCAGUUUCGCAAAGAAUGUAUCUCCGACGUAGAUACGAAACCUGCAUACCAAAAUUUGAAGCAGAGAGUAGAAGGAAGUGUUAAUACGUUUUUAAAACAACAAACGUGGAGUAUUGAUUUAAAUAAAAAUCAACUUCGUGAACAAUUACGUAAAAAUCUAUUGGAAUCUGGUUAUUUGGAAACUGGUGUAGAGAGAAUUGUCGAUCAAGUUGUUAAUCCAAAAAUUAAUACAGUAUUUUUACCCAAAGUUGAAGAAAUAGUUUACAGAUUUCUGGGGGUGGAUAAACCAGUUCGAAAUGUUAAGAAUGAAGUUAAUGUGAGCAUAACUGAUUUACUACCCACCGAUCUUGAGGCGGUAUCUCCGGAAUCUGUACAUAGUUUCAAAAAUGAAUCAAAGAAAGAAGAUAAAUUAAAUUCUUUAUCAUCUAGUAUUAAACUUGAAGAAGAUGAAAGUCCACCGUUUGAACCUCUAAAUGAAAAUGAAGAAAAUAAUACUGUUAAUGAUGAUAAAAUGAUUGUUGAUGAAAAUACAAGAGACUCGCAUUUAUCUGGAUUUUCAGGUCUGGAAAGUCACGGAUCAAAUCCUGCUAAUAAGUGUUAUCAAAUGGAGUUGGAAUCCCAAAACAGUUCAGAGAGUCAUUUAUCCAUUUUCACUUCAGGGGAAACAUCUAAAAUGGAAGUUUGUGAGGAUUCUAUAGUCGAUGCUAACGUAGAAAAAUCAGAAGAUAAUGAAACUUACUAUAACUUAACAACUGAUAGCAUUGAAAACAAAAAUGAAAAGGAUACCGAAAAGAAAUAUGUUAAAGGAGAAGAAAAGGGAUCGAAGAGUACUGAAAAGUCUUCUAAAGAGAAAAAGGAUGAUAAACAUAGGAAAAGUAGUAGCUCGAAUAAAGAUAAAGAAAAAAAUUCAAAGUCAUCUCAGUCUAAAUACAAGGAAUAUAAAGAAAAGGAUAAGAAGAAUUCGAAAAGUAGCAGUUCUAAAGAUAGAGAUAACAAUAGAGAAAAAGUCGAUAAAGAUAAAGAAAAAUCUGAUAAAGAAAAGUCUUCGAAGAAACCGGAUAAGGAAAAAUAUAAAAGCGACAAAGAAAAAGACAAAGUAAAAUACGACAAAAGUAAAACAGAAAAAGAAACAGUAAAUAAAAUGGAAAAAGAAAAAGUUGAUAAAGAAAGAUUGAGAGAAAGAUCCGAUAAAAGAACUAAAUCAGAUAAUGAUAAAAACAAACAUGAUAAAGAUAAAUCUAUUAGAGAUAAGGAUAAGAAUACAAAGGAUAAUAAAUAUAAAGAAAAAUCUAAAAUAAAGGAAAAAUCAGAGAAAAGCUCAAAAGAUAGAUCCUCAAGAGACAAACCUAGUUCUAGUAAAGAGUCAAAAGAAAAGGAUUAUAAUAAAGAAUAUAAGGAUAAAAAUAAAGAAGAAAAAAAUAAAAGUUCGAGUAGUAGCUCAAAACAUAGUUCAAGUAAAGACAAAGACAAAAAGCCAAAAACUGACUCUAAUUCUCAAAGUACAUCAAAAUCUUCUAGUUCUAGUGAUUCUAAAUCUAAAAUAAACACUGAUAAAACAAAAAAAGAGGAAAUAAGUGAUAAACACGGAAAUAACAAGAAAGAAACACAAAAAGACACAAGAAAGAAAUCGAAAGAUGAUCAUUACAGUUCGAAAUUGAAUAAAACAGAUAGGAGAUCGACAGAUAGAGAUUCCAACGAUGGUAAAUCAUCGAGUAAAAAUAAUUUUACUACAUAUUCGGAAUCUUCUAGAUCAGAAAAUAAUUCUCAAGAUUGUACUAGUUCCAGUUUCACUGGUGGUUCCGGAGAUUCAAGUAAUUCAGAUAAAGUAGAAGGAAAUAGAGAAGUAAUCAUCACUGAAACCCAGAAACUGAAAUAUAUCAAACCUAAAUUUGCUCUAAAUUUUGAAGAAGCCAGGAAGAUAAUGAAAAUAAGAAAACAACUAGCGAUAUUGGAGAAACAAAAUAAAUUGAGCUUGGCGAAAAUAGAGCUGCCAUUUGAGAAGAUUAAAGCUGUAAAUGAUAACGAAAAAGUUGAUAUAAGUGAAGAAAAAGAAAAUAUUAACGGUUCUAAAUUAGAUAGCGGUGGUACUUCGUUAGUUUCGUCUAUUGAAGGUACUAAUUUGAGUAAAGAAAAUUGGGAAGCCCUGGAAGCCAAAUUGGAACAAGUGAUGGCUUUUGUUAAUAGUAACUCUUAUGAUUCAGAUGAAGAUUUCGAAUUUCGCGGUUACAGUUCGGUGGAUAACAUCCCUAAACACUUGAUCGAUUUAAGUGCGAAUCUAGUGAAGAAAACUGAGAAGGAAAUGAUGAAUAAACAAAUAGCACAUGAUAAAAGUGAAUCCGAUCAAAUACAAUUUUCUGUAGUUUUCAACAGUUUAAAUGAAAACAAUUGUUAUUAUUUAGAAAAACCAACUCAGCAAGAAGAAAAUAAUUUAAAAUUUAUUCGUGAGAUAGCUAGGAAUAUCGAGAAGGAAAUCAGUUACAGUUUUCGAGAUUAUAGUGGAAAAAUUUUGGGAAAAACAGGAAUGAAGAGGAAGUUCGAAGAAAUCGAUGCGAAGAACAAUAAUAAAACUGAUUAUACGAAAACAGAGAAAAAAAGGAGAAUAUCUGCCAGUUCCCAAUCAGUUGUUCGAGUGGCAAAUAAAAAAAACAGUACAGAUGUAACUCCUACUGAAGUUUUUCCACUUCCUCUAAGUCCCGCAGAAAGUGAUAAAUCAAAUGAGAGGAAAGACGAAGAUCUUUUGAUUCCUAUGAAACAGAAAAGGAUCGUACGAGGAUAUUCUCAACGGUAUUCCAGUGAUGAUUUAUACAAACCUCGACCGACAGUUGGAAGGAAUAAUUUCACAAGAAGAAAUAUUUGAAAUUUUGUAUCUAUUACUUCAAAAGUAAUAAUCGAAAAAAAUUGAAAUUUAGUGGUAAAUAGAAGUUAAUGGCUGAGUAGUAGAAUCGUAAUAGAUAAAUGUAUAGAAAUAUAAGAAGAAGAGAUGUACAGGAUUUUAGAGGAAUAAUCGUUAUAAAGUUGUCAAAUAGAUAAGUACGUUGGUGAUUAGUAGAUGCAACUAAAACAAAGUGAAGCGGGACAUUCCAUUCCUAUGAAUGAAGACGUUUGCAGAAUUUGGUUGCAAAGAAUAAAUAACCUCAAGUUAAUGCAUGCAGAUACAGUAUUAACAUCACAUAGAAUAUGUGAUAUUCAUUUUGAACCAAUUUGUAGAAAACCCAAUGGCAGGUUAAAAAAACUUUCACUGCCAACUCUACAUUUACCUGGUAAGUACUUAUAUUUACUGUGACAAUAAACCUCUUAUGAAUCCUAGUGAAAAGUUAUGCAGAGAAAAAGAAUUGCAAUUUCCUCCAAUAGUCAAUGUCCCAAUUUAUAAACCAUUCAAUAGAAGCUCAAAAUAUAUGGGAUUAGAUCUUAUGUGGCAGGUUCAGUAGCGAAGAAAUUAUUUAAAAGUCUCAAAUGCCACUUGUGUAAAAAUAUAAUAUUGUCAAACGAAUUAAUUAAGGCAAAUUCAUUAAUAUAUUCUAGGGAACAUAAAAAAAUGUUUUAUGUGCGCCUUCAGCAAAAUUCUGUGAUAUUUUUAAAAGUUUUUCUGAUAAAAUCUUCGAAAGAUUGCCCCAGUUAAUCAAUUCGUUAUGCAUAAAGAAACAAUUAUUUCGUUUGGAGGAUUUGACAGACAUUUUGUUCAGAUCAUAAGGAUUAUGUAAAUAUGUUUGUGAAUAUUAGUUUUAACAUAUGCAUCUUUCAUUACACAGGUAUUAUUAAUAAAAUUUUGAAGGGCAAAGAUCAACAAUAUAAAGACUAUGAUGUGAUGAAUAUGGCAUAUGUUAAAUAAAGGGAAAGCUGCAAGAAAGACAAUGGUAAUCAUUAAUUAACCAUGGUUAUAAAAUCGGUUUUUUAUAUACCAUUGUAUGCACCAUGUACAAACAGAAAGAUUUUUUAAACACUCCAAUAUCUCACUGUUGACAUUCCUAAGCCUGCUAAAGUGUGAAGGAAAAUUUUUUGUUUGUGGAUAUAGUUAUAAAAUGUUAAAAACAAAAUAAAUAUUAUAAUAAUCAUCCUAUGUUUCAAUAUUCCAUCUACCUAUAUCCUGUAUAAACCAUUUAAUUGUGAAAUUUAGAUGGUCGGACCUGGUUGUCACAUAAAUUGUAAAUGAAACCAAAAUAUUUUACAAAAUACUUCAUUUAAACAGCAUUUUAAUUUCAGGUAUUUAUAUUUUCUUGCAAACAACAAUAUUUGAAUUUGAAAUGUUAGCAAAAUGAAAGUAUUUGCAUAAUACUUUUGUUUCAUUCACAAUUUGAUGCGACAACUAGCUUGGAGCAUUUAAAAUUACUCGAGUUAUUUUCAAAUUUCCCGCGAAGUUAGCUUGGAUAUGAACCUUAGAUCAAAUCUUUGAUUGUAGAAAUCUUUUUUCUUGGUAUGGAGCCAGUCCGAAAGAUGUCGCUAGGAUCGAACUUUGUCGGCAAAUUUUUAUACAGAGUGGUAGAUCUAUCGAGUAUAUAAUAAUCUUUGGGUUGAUCAGUAGCUCAUCUAGUUGGAAAUUAUCGGAUAGUGUCUUCUUCAAAAAUUACGUGAAACUAUACAGAAACAUUUAUCAUAAGACAAUAAACGCUGCCAAGGAUAUUUAUUAUAAUAGGAGACUCACCAAUUCUCGUAAUGUUUCUAAAGAAACAUGAUCAAUUGUGAAUGAUCUUCGCAGUACAAUUAAUGACAUCAAGAAAAAGUCCUCAUCUGGAACUGAUAUUAAAAAUGUUUUGGAGUCUGCCCGAUUGCGCAUUAAAUCACCUUACGACUUUAAUUAACAUUUCAUGUUAAAAUGGCACUAUUCCCAAUUGCCUCAAGAUGGCUAUUGUGCAAAAUCAAAGUUAAAUUGAUCGUUUAAAGUAGAUCAUAAUCAAGGCCAAAAAGUAGUCGUUUCAAAAAUCUUGACCCUGGUGGAACAACUUUUUUUGCAAUUUAUAUUUAUUACCUCACAGUUUUAAUUGCUUUAAAAUAAAAAGUUGCUUAAUUUAUGUGUAUAAACAAUAAUUGGUUAAUAAAAAAAAUGGUGCCGAUCGAAAGUUUCGUUACAGGAUGGUCCACAAACUUUUACAUUUAUUUCUAAAUUAUUUAUUGGUCCCUUAUUUUCGUGCUUAUUUUCAUAUAAAACAUUUUUAUCUAUAUCUAUUUGUAACAAACGAUCAAAUUAUAACUAAACCAUUUCUUUAAACUAAACAAUAAGGGAUAUACAACCCUUCCAAGGGGUAAAUUAAGAAGUUUGUCUUUUUUUAAAAAUAUCUGCCAAAAAGGUUGCAAUUUAUGUUUUAGAAAUAAUUAUAAGGUAUAAUAAGAAUCAGUUUCGUGUCACCAUGUGCAAAAUACCAUAAUACAGGGUGGUAAAAAUAAGCCAUUACGUCAUAUAUUUUUAUAAAAAAGCAAUUCUAUAAACAACA